Macadamia integrifolia is the source of this 526-nucleotide long non-coding RNA. RefSeq lists it as uncharacterized. The record is from RefSeq and is a predicted model, not a curated record. Lineage: Eukaryota; Viridiplantae; Streptophyta; Magnoliopsida; Proteales; Proteaceae. The transcript has 2 exons.
AAUCACAUCUUCCUUGGGUAGGAAACACUCAACCUCCAUUUCCGGAAAGUGUACACUAAAUCAUUCUAUGUUGUGAAGCCGAAGCUCAACAACAAUGGGAUCUUUGUCAUUCAAGAUUUCCAUGCCUUGCUAGAAGUUCUUGAGUUUUGAGCUUUGAAUGUGGUAUGUGUAGAGCUAUCGGAAGGCCCUGAACUUGGCUUUUGAAUUACUUUACAGGGUCGGAUAAUGUUGACAAGGGGGAGAAAAACAGUUUAGUUGAUGGCCUCAUAAUUGCUACUGUCAGGUGUAGCUUAGAUGGAAAAGUUAUUAACAAUAAUAGUAAUACUUUAUCAUGUCAUGCCUUAACACCAUUCGAAGCAGAAGAAAGGAUGUUUUCAGAGGAAGAUGCAACAAUGCCUUACCGGAUUCCUUUUGUAUAGAACUAUCAGAGUCAAGUUUGGUGGAUUCCUUUUGUAUUUUUCAAGAAUUUCUCUUGUACUUGGAGAUCAUUUAGCUGAAUCAUUGAUUCUCUUGGAUUGGUUUACCA